RNAcentral lists this ribosomal RNA (885 nucleotides) under uncultured bacterium. RNAcentral's name for it is "bacterial SSU rRNA". It matches the Rfam family "Bacterial small subunit ribosomal RNA", at positions 51 to 933 of the family's 1533-position model. The record is from RNAcentral.
ACACAUGCAAGUCGAGGGGCAGCACAGGUAGCAAUACCGGGUGGCGACCGGCGCACGGGUGAGUAACGCGUAUGCAACUUGCCUAUCAGAGGGGGAUAACCCGGCGAAAGUCGGACUAAUACCGCAUGAAGCAGGGGCCCCGCAUGGGGAUAUUUGCUAAAGAUUCAUCGCUGAUAGAUAGGCAUGCGUUCCAUUAGGCAGUUGGCGGGGUAACGGCCCACCAAACCGACGAUGGAUAGGGGUUCUGAGAGGAAGGUCCCCCACAUUGGUACUGAGACACGGACCAAACUCCUACGGGAGGCAGCAGUGAGGAAUAUUGGUCAAUGGGCGCGAGCCUGAACCAGCCAAGUCGCGUGAGGGAUGAAGGUUCUAUGGAUCGUAAACCUCUUUUAUAAGGGAAUAAAGUGCGGGACGUGUCCCGUUUUGUAUGUACCUUAUGAAUAAGGAUCGGCUAACUCCGUGCCAGCAGCCGCGGUAAUACGGAGGAUCCGAGCGUUAUCCGGAUUUAUUGGGUUUAAAGGGUGCGUAGGCGGCCUUUUAAGUCAGCGGUGAAAGUCUGUGGCUCAACCAUAGAAUUGCCGUUGAAACUGGGGGGCUUGAGUAUGUUUGAGGCAGGCGGAAUGCGUGGUGUAGCGGUGAAAUGCAUAGAUAUCACGCAGAACCCCGAUUGCGAAGGCAGCCUGCCAAGCCAUUACUGACGCUGAUGCACGAAAGCGUGGGGAUCAAACAGGAUUAGAUACCCUGGUAGUCCACGCAGUAAACGAUGAUCACUAGCUGUUUGCGAUACACUGUAAGCGGCACAGCGAAAGCGUUAAGUGAUCCACCUGGGGAGUACGCCGGCAACGGUGAAACUCAAAGGAAUUGACGGGGGCCCGCACAAGCGGA